This is an RNA transcript of Mus musculus (house mouse), 1036 nucleotides long. It is a transcript of the gene named tescalcin, with no coding region annotated. Lineage: Eukaryota; Metazoa; Chordata; Mammalia; Rodentia; Muridae. The record is from RefSeq and is marked validated. The transcript is spliced from 8 exons.
CGGCCGCGAGGGAAGCGGGCGAGCGCUAGGACCGCGCCGCUCCGCCUCCCGCCGCUAUAAGAGGCCGCUCGAGCCCCACGCGGAACCGGCUCCGCGCCGCUGUCCCCGCGUCCCCACCCGGCUCCAACGCAGCGCAGCCCAGGCAGUCCCCGGCCUGCGUGGGGCGCCCGGGGCCCCGCGGCGCACCAUGGGCGCUGCCCACUCGGCGUCCGAGGAGGUGCGGGAGCUCGAGGGCAAGACCGGCUUCUCCUCGGACCAGAUAGAGCAGCUGCAUCGGAGGUUCAAGCAGCUAAGCGGGGACCAGCCCACCAUUCGCAAGGAGAACUUCAACAAUGUCCCUGACCUGGAGCUCAACCCGAUCCGAUCCAAAAUCGUCCGUGCCUUCUUCGACAACAGGAACCUGCGAAAGGGAUCCAGCGGUCUGGCCGAUGAGAUCAACUUUGAGGACUUCCUGACUAUCAUGUCCUACUUCCGGCCCAUCGACACCACCCUGGGCGAGGAACAGGUGGAGCUGUCACGAAAGGAGAAGCUGAAAUUUCUGUUUCAUAUGUAUGAUUCGGACAGUGACGGCCGCAUCACCCUGGAAGAGUAUAGAAAUGUAAAGUGGUGGAGGAGCUGCUCUCGGGAAACCCUCACAUUGAAAAGGAGUCGGCUCGGUCCAUUGCAGACGGGGCCAUGAUGGAGGCGGCCAGCGUGUGCGUGGGGCAGAUGGAACCGGACCAGGUGUACGAGGGGAUCACCUUUGAGGACUUCCUGAAGAUCUGGCAGGGCAUCGACAUCGAGACCAAGAUGCACAUUCGUUUCCUCAACAUGGAGACCAUCGCCCUCUGCCACUGACCUGCUGCCUGCUGCCCGUGCAAGGGAGGGGGUGGCUGGAAGCUGGGGGUGACCGAGGACGGAUGUUCAGCCCUAUGCCUGGGCUUCUGUGACAAUCAGUAACCCUUCUUCAGUUAUCCUCCUCGUGGGGUGUGGUGUGUGGGACUCCGAUAUUUUUAUCUCUAAUGGUGACAAUAAAGGUUUCCUAAUGAGUCCGGCA